This 1444-nucleotide small RNA is filed under the name Histoplasma capsulatum. Its description in RNAcentral is "hypothetical RNA". RNAcentral also lists the same sequence under 1 other name. The record is from RNAcentral. Lineage: Eukaryota; Fungi; Ascomycota; Eurotiomycetes; Onygenales; Ajellomycetaceae.
GGAUGGAUGGAUCUACGCUCAGUUUUAAACCUAGUAGGCAUCUUCAACAUUUCAGAAUUAUCGAUACCAGGGGUCACUUUUGAGAAAAAUUAACAGCGAAAUGAGAUAUACAAUAGCACAAUCAAUGGCAAUCAAACCCUUUCGAUAGAAGUAUACAGGAACCGUUAAAUGUACAGGAAAAGGCAGGUCAAGAAUUGCAACAUUAGAACGCCGAACGCACAUCGCAAAAAAAAAAAAAAAAGGAAGGAAAGAGAGGGAACUGCAGAAGAAAAAAUACUAGUAGGUGAAUAACAUGUUAGAAAUUAAUUUUAAAGUCAAAACUAUCAUCAAUCACAGAACAAUCGCCAACUCGUGCCUCGCCAAACCCUCGUCCUCGAGUGUGGGAUAAUAAGGUACCAUCGCAUCAGCCCCUUGAACGUAGGCGUCAUUAUAUAGCCUCCAAUAUGGCUGCCGCACUUUCCUUGCGGGAUGGAACAAGCCUGCCCAAACAUAGUUCAUCACAAUGCCCGUGCCAACGGCCAUGCGGAUGGCCUCAAUAGCUUCGAUUAUCCGAUCAAUAACGUGAGGGCUUGUCUCAAAGAGGUUAGGAUACAGCAGAUUGAGGAGAUGGAGCAUUGCGUCUUCACAUCCAAGGCCAACAACACCAAGAGCAAUAUGUUUCACCACGCUGGCUGCUGUUUGUCGAUGCACUUGGUCACGAUCUAUUAAUGCGUCUUCAAGCAGUGGAGUGACAGCGUAAACGUAAUCUUUUGCCAUUUCGCCGAUAUAUUCAAAAAGGAAGGACAUAGCUUUGAGUACGCCAUUCUGGACAUUCAGCUCUGGCACUCGAUACUCGUUCAUAAGGGCAGGAAGAACCGUGAAAGGCGCACAAGUUUCGGCGACGAUACCAAUGGCAACAGCGGUACAAACGCGGGAUUGGCGUUCUUGCACUCGAAGGUUGUUGAGCAGGGUAGCGAGGACAUCUUGCGGGCCAAUAGCUUUUGCAAUGAAACCAAAUGUGUUAUUAGCUGCACGGCGUAUGCCCUUCUUGUGAGCUUUCAGCAUGUCGAGUAACUCGAAGCAGAUUCGCAUCCAUUCUCGGGCAUUAACGGAUUCAGGGCCUCGAUCUGCUAUUCGACCAACCAAAUCAAUAGUGUUCUCUUGUACUUUUUCGUGUCGAUUUCGCAGUAUCGGGGUGAGACGGGGUAAUAGGUCUCGGAUAGGCGGCUGCAUUUGAUUGAUACCAACAACAGUAACAAUAGACCGCAGAGCCCCGAGAAUAGAACCGAGAACUUCAGGAUACUCUUCGCCCAGAUAUUCGUAAAGGACGAUACCGAGUUUACCCAUGAGGGCGUCCUCACCACACUGUUUCAUGACCAGUGCAAUGCGGGAUAUAAGGUCGGCUGCCUGCUGACGAACUGUUGCGGAUUUGUUAUUCAAACGCCAGAGAAUUGUACUGACAAUC